AUUGAACGCUGGCGGCAGGCCUAACACAUGCAAGUCGAGCGAGCGGCGGACGGGUGAGUAAUGUAUGGGGACUGCCCGCUAGAGGGGGAGAACUACUGGAAACGGUAGCUAAUACCGCCUACUCUCUGUUAACCCAUAUGGGAGUAGCUAGUUGGUGAGGUAAUGGCUCACCAAGGCGACGAACCCUAGCUGGUCUGAGAGGAUGAUCAGCCACACUGGGACGGAGACACGGCCCAGACGCCUACGGAGGCAGCAGUGGGGAAUAUUGCACAAUGGGCGCAAGCCUGAUGCAGCCAUGCCGCGUGUAUGAAGAAGGCCCUAGGGUUGUAAAGUACGUUCAGUCGGGAGGCGUUACCGACAGAAGAAGCACCGGCUAACUCCGUGCCAGCAGCCGCGGUAAUACC
Molecule: ribosomal RNA, 404 nt
Filed under: uncultured bacterium
Lineage: Bacteria
Description: partial 16S ribosomal RNA
Rfam family: Bacterial small subunit ribosomal RNA
Source: RNAcentral